UAGGAACACACUCAGACUCCAUUUCAAAUUUGUCUCCCCUCUUUAUAGUGUCUCUGUGCUCAAGAUGGGACAACUCACUGUUUUGAUGUUCAUGGCAGCAUUGUUUUCCCUUUUCGUGGAAACAGAAGCAAAUCCUUUCAGUUACAACUAUGGGAAGCUACGGAUUGCAGGGCUCAUCUUCGCCAGCAUGUUGUUUAUGGGAGGCAUCUGUGUUCUCAUGUAUAACAGAUGCACCGGAAGAAACAAAAAACCGGAGGAAGAUAGCAGUGAAAUCUGAUAGCAGCUGGGCUCGGCUGGUUCGACACACUGGUUCGAGGUGUGAAAUUAAACACACAAAGGUUUUAUUGCUGGUAUGAGGAGGGAUUAAUUUGUUGUAAAAUGUUUAAACAGAACUAAUAAGUGCCUGCAGGGUGUUGCUAGAUUUGUCUUGCCAUAUGCCAUAGCAGUCAGGGACACGGUGGUGUAAACAGGCUAAAUAAAGCUUACCUUGUGCCUUUAAGUGCUUAAAAAACGGUUUCCCUUUCAUCACAUGUUCAACACUGGCAAAGAUUAAAAUUGUUAUAAUGUAUUAUACUGGUACAUUCAUCUGUUGCAUCGCAGGCAAGGUUCAAAUGAUUCAAUACAUAUUUGGCUAUUUUAUAUGUUCUCAAGCUAUAUUUAAGAUUAUUCUUAGUAUUAUCAACCCAUGAAGUAGCCUGUGUUAAUCAUAAUAAUCAUGCGAGUUCUGCUAGCCUAAACCGUUAUUAUUAAUCAUAACUUUCAUCUGCCCAGAAAACAGAAUCCCUUAGUUUAGAGUCUGACUUUGUGUGCAUAUAAAACCCCAAAUAAAUGUUACAAUUUUAAA
Molecule: long non-coding RNA, 844 nt
Organism: Gadus macrocephalus (Pacific cod)
Lineage: Eukaryota; Metazoa; Chordata; Actinopteri; Gadiformes; Gadidae
Exons: 7
Source: RefSeq, a predicted model, not a curated record